RNAcentral lists this ribosomal RNA (508 nucleotides) under Butyricicoccus sp. 1XD8-22. RNAcentral describes it as "bacterial SSU rRNA". It matches the Rfam family "Bacterial small subunit ribosomal RNA", at positions 1033 to 1533 of the family's 1533-position model. The record is from RNAcentral. Lineage: Bacteria; Bacillati; Bacillota; Clostridia; Eubacteriales; Butyricicoccaceae.
GACAGGUGGUGCAUGGUUGUCGUCAGCUCGUGUCGUGAGAUGUUGGGUUAAGUCCCGCAACGAGCGCAACCCUUACGGUUAGUUGAUACAUUGAGUUGAUCACUCUAGCCGGACUGCCGUUGACAAAACGGAGGAAGGUGGGGACGACGUCAAAUCAUCAUGCCCCUUAUGACCUGGGCUACACACGUACUACAAUGGCAGUCAUACAGAGGGAAGCAAUAUGGUGACAUGGAGCAAACCCCUAAAAGCUGUCCCAGUUCAGAUUGCAGGCUGCAACCCGCCUGCAUGAAGUCGGAAUUGCUAGUAAUCGCGGAUCAGCAUGCCGCGGUGAAUACGUUCCCGGGCCUUGUACACACCGCCCGUCACACCAUGAGAGCCGGUAAUACCCGAAGUCCGUAGCCGAACCGCAAGGAGGGCGCGGCCGAAGGUAGGACUGGUAAUUAGGGUGAAGUCGUAACAAGGUAGCCGUAUCGGAAGGUGCGGCUGGAUCACCUCCUUUCUAAGGAGA